This 253-nucleotide ribosomal RNA is filed under the name uncultured bacterium. Its description in RNAcentral is "partial 16S ribosomal RNA". It matches the Rfam family "Bacterial small subunit ribosomal RNA", at positions 524 to 776 of the family's 1533-position model. The record is from RNAcentral.
UACAGAGGGUGCAAGCGUUAAUCGGAAUUACUGGGCGUAAAGCGUGCGUAGACGGUUAUGUAAGUCAGAUGUGAAAGCCCAGGGCUCAACCUUGGAAUUGCAUUUGAGACUGCAUAGCUAGGGUGCGGAAGAGGGAAGCGGAAUUCCCGGUGUAGCGGUGAAAUGCGUAGAGAUCGGGAGGAACACCAGUGGCGAAGGCGGCUACCUGGACCAGCACUGACACUCAGGCACGAAAGCGUGGGGAGCAAACAGG